This 495-nucleotide ribosomal RNA is filed under the name uncultured bacterium. Its description in RNAcentral is "bacterial SSU rRNA". It matches the Rfam family "Bacterial small subunit ribosomal RNA", at positions 501 to 992 of the family's 1533-position model. The record is from RNAcentral.
CUACGUGCCAGCAGCCGCGGUAAUACGUAGGGCGCGAGCGUUGUCCGGAAUUAUUGGGCGUAAAGAGCUUGUAGGCGGUUUGUCGCGUCUGCUGUGAAAGGCCGGGGCUUAACCCCGUGUAUUGCAGUGGGUACGGGCAGACUAGAGUGCAGUAGGGGAGACUGGAAUUCCUGGUGUAGCGGUGGAAUGCGCAGAUAUCAGGAGGAACACCGAUGGCGAAGGCAGGUCUCUGGGCUGUAACUGACGCUGAGAAGCGAAAGCAUGGGGAGCGAACAGGAUUAGAUACCCUGGUAGUCCAUGCCGUAAACGUUGGGCACUAGGUGUGGGGGACAUUCCACGUUUUCCGCGCCGUAGCUAACGCAUUAAGUGCCCCGCCUGGGGAGUACGGCCGCAAGGUUAAAACUCAAAUGAAUUGACGGGGGCCCGCACAAGCGGUGGAGCAUGUGGUUUAAUUCGAUGCAACGCGAAGAACCUUACCUACUCUUGACAUCCAGA